CUCAUUAUGUGUAAAUAACACACACGGAUCGGCACAUACACCGGGGUGCUCUUAUGCGGUUAACUCAUUGAUAUGACUUGCCCGCAGCCAAGGAGUCGGUGUCAUGGGAUCUGUGGAGGCAUAAC
Molecule: small RNA, 125 nt
Filed under: Xenorhabdus eapokensis
Lineage: Bacteria; Pseudomonadati; Pseudomonadota; Gammaproteobacteria; Enterobacterales; Morganellaceae
Description: t44
Rfam family: t44 RNA
About the family: This family consists of a number of bacterial RNA genes of between 135 and 170 bases in length. The t44 gene is found between the map and rpsB genes in all species in the full alignment apart from Shigella flexneri.
Source: RNAcentral